This 281-nucleotide ribosomal RNA is filed under the name uncultured prokaryote. RNAcentral's name for it is "partial 16S ribosomal RNA". It matches the Rfam family "Bacterial small subunit ribosomal RNA", at positions 524 to 803 of the family's 1533-position model. The record is from RNAcentral.
UACGGAGGAUCCGAGCGUUAUCCGGAUUUAUUGGGUUUAAAGGGUGCGUAGGUGGUUUCUUAAGUCAGAGGUGAAAGGCUACGGCUCAACCGUAGUAAGCCUUUGAAACUGGGAAACUUGAGUGCAGGAGAGGAGAGUGGAAUUCCUAGUGUAGCGGUGAAAUGCGUAGAUAUUAGGAGGAACACCAGUUGCGAAGGCGGCUCUCUGGACUGUAACUGACACUGAGGCACGAAAGCGUGGGGAGCAAACAGGAUUAGAUACCCGCGUAGUCCCUGAGCGGG